GCGGUAAAACAUAGGUCACGAGCAUUAUCCGGAUUUAUUGGGCGUAAAGGAAGCGUAGGCGGACAAAUUGAUCUAUUGUUAAAGGCACUUGCUCAACGAGUUGUUUGUGAUAGAUAUCGUUUGUCUAGAAUUAGUUAGGAGAUACUGGAAUUCAAUGUGUAGCGGUGGAAUGCGUAGAUAUAUUGAGGAACACCGGAGGCUAAGGCGAGUAUCUAGGACAUAAUUGACGCUGAGGCUUGAAAGCGUGGGGAGCAAAUGGGAUUAGAUACCCCAGUAGUCCACGCCGUAAACGAUGGGUAUUAGGUAUUUGGUCUAGGACUGAGUGCUGUAGCUAACGCGUUAAAUACCCCGCCUGGGUAGUAUAUAUGCAAAUAUGAAACUCAAAGAAAUUGACGGGGACCUGA
RNAcentral lists this ribosomal RNA (404 nucleotides) under Candidatus Mycoplasma haematominutum. Its description in RNAcentral is "bacterial SSU rRNA". It matches the Rfam family "Bacterial small subunit ribosomal RNA", at positions 517 to 924 of the family's 1533-position model. The record is from RNAcentral. Lineage: Bacteria; Bacillati; Mycoplasmatota; Mollicutes; Mycoplasmatales; Mycoplasmataceae.